GGGUGUAUCAAAAAAAGCGCAACCUCGGAAUUUCCCAAGACAUCGACAUUGUUUUAAAGACAAAAGAUUUUAGGCGCCUGGUAAUUUAAAAUAGCAUAACUGUCAAAAUUACUGCACACGAGAGUGCAUAAAGCAAAAUUUAUGCAUUUAUUUAAUGCACAACAACAGUAAUAUGAUCUAUUAGCAAUUCGAUUUCAAUUCCCAGGGGCC
Paramuricea clavata is the source of this 210-nucleotide non-coding RNA. NCBI's taxonomy places the organism in Eukaryota, Metazoa, Cnidaria, Anthozoa, Malacalcyonacea, Plexauridae. The record is from the annotation of a GenBank genome assembly.